RNAcentral lists this long non-coding RNA (203 nucleotides) under Fukomys damarensis (Damara mole-rat). RNAcentral's name for it is "lncRNA (ENSFDAG00000030653.1)". Lineage: Eukaryota; Metazoa; Chordata; Mammalia; Rodentia; Bathyergidae. The record is from RNAcentral.
GAAGGUUUCAGGACUAGUGACCAAAACAAUUAAGAAAAUGAUGCAAUCAUAUUCCCAUGUAACACUAUUUUCCAAGCAUGUUCCUGUCACUAGCCUGAGCCUUCUGUGAAGCUCUGUUUCCUCUUGAAGCACAGAGGAGAUGACCUUCAGCUCCAGCUCUCUAAAGUUUGAUUAAAGCCAUCUGAAAUAAAUUUAUUGCCACA